Long non-coding RNA from Ailuropoda melanoleuca (giant panda), 2427 nucleotides. RefSeq lists it as uncharacterized. The transcript is spliced from 7 exons. Lineage: Eukaryota; Metazoa; Chordata; Mammalia; Carnivora; Ursidae. The record is from RefSeq and is a predicted model, not a curated record.
AUCUAACUUUGUAUGAGCUUCUCGCGGUUUCAUUAUCAAAAGACUUAACCAGGGCUGCUGCUUUUGUUUUCAAAUCUUUACUUAGGGUUUUAAAAAUGAUUUCUUCUGCCUUUGUGAUAGGAGAACGGCAGAUAAUUAGGGUAACUAUGCGGUUUAGGUUAAGAAUCACAGACACCGGCGAAUUUUCUCGAAUCGUGGGCCGAGCGCCCUGGCUUCCCCCCCUCCAUGCUCGCGGGAAGCCCGGACCACGGACGGCCGCGGGGUGAGCGCACGGGGCGCGGCCGGCCGCCGGGCCCGCCCCUCCCCCACGGCGCCUGCGCCCGCGCUCUACCCGGAGGCCACGCCAAGGCCUGGGGGUUAUUUCGGCCGCCCGCGGCGGUAGCAGUGCCCGGGGACGGUGUGGGCCUUUCUCCGGCUGCGGACAGCGAGUGGCGGAGGAGCCGGGCGGAAGGCGUCGGGACAGAGGCUGGCGUUUAGUGAGAGCUAUCCGAGUUUGCCCAGCAUCCCGUUAAUCUCGCACUCCUGUGCGUAAAACCGUAUGUGAGCAACAGAGUCGAGUAGUUCGGACGCAGACCUCACGUGCAAGAAUGCCUGAAGUACUUACUAUCUGGCCCUUUAUAGAAAAAGUUUGCCAACUCCUGCUGCAAUCAGUAAGUCAUCUGUUGAAGGGCAUCUCGGCUCCUUCCACGAUUUAGCUAUUGUGGACAAUGCUGCUAUGAACAUUGGGGUGAAGAGAUGCCCUUCUCUUCACUACGUCUGUAUCUUUGGGGUAAGUACCCAGUAGUGCAAUGGCUGGUACUGUGAUUUUAUCCUGUUCAUUCAUUUGGGACAUACAGCUCUCUCCACUUAUGUUUUGUAACUGUUUGUUUCUAUCUACUACGUCGGUCAGCUCCAUCUCCUGGUCUUGAAAGUGGUGGCCUUGUGUAGAAGAGGUCUGGAAUACUCUGCAACACAGCGUCCCUCUCAGAUCACCAGAACCAGGGGAGUCCUCUAUGUGGGCUACACGUGACCUACUAUCAUGGCAGGAAGGACCUUGAAGCGCAGAGGAAAUUCUUCAACAGCUGAAUAGUCAGCAUGAUACUUUAACUUUCUGGACAUGACUGCUUACUGAGGUCCUUGGGACAUCUCACAUACAGCCAGCAGAUGGUAAAGACUGUUGCUAAGGGACAUUUUGGUAGCUAAAGCCCCCCAAUUGGUGGACACAGAUCAAGCACUUAAAAACUACUAGAGGGCUCACCACCUCGAGAAGACUGUCGUGAAAGGACACAACUGGAACAUUUGUUAUAUAACCAAGGCUUUGACUGGAAUGUCCUAUUUGAGAGAGAGAUGCAUAAACUCAGGUAUGACCAGACAGCUUUAAGAAACCAGUAAAGCCCUCAAAAGUACCAGUUUGGUACCCUGCUUCCAGAGUUCCCAGCAGCCUUACCAGGUGAGUAAAGGUUGUCACUCCCUGGCAAAUACAGGAACCUCAGGAUACUUUGGGGACCUCGAGCAGAGAGGAAUUCACCCCCACCUGUAGGUAUUGCAGCAGAAGUUCUGAUGGCAAGUAUUUGGCUUGGCUUCUGGCCUCAAGAGGCUGUUAAAACUUCAAUCAAGGAAAAGUUCCAGCAGGUUCUGAAGAAUUUACCUUAAGCAACUGCUAUUCUGGCUGGCCUCAGGUAAAUGAUCAGGCCAAGUUUUUUUUGAGACUAGACUUAUUUUGCAAACAAAUUAGUAUUAAUUUGGCUAUCUAUGAAGGGUGAUAAUAGAGAAAAUAUGUUUCAGUAACACAUCUGAGUAAAUAUCAGAUUGUAAUACUGUUCAUUAGAAACUGGACUAAAUCCUGAUUUCUUCUAAUUUCCUCCAAUGCCUAACCGUAAUUCUCCAAAGUAACAUUUUUAUUUUUCUUCCAACCUUCUACGUUGGACUCAUCUGAGAACUAAGACUGCCUUUCCCCUGAAGCCCUAUAAACUAAAUUUACGUAAACUUCAGAGAAAUCACCACAACAGCUCACAUACAGGCAAUCUUCAUGCCUGCUGCUCUGGGGGCCACUCAAAGAUCACCAGAGACAGUCCAACUACAAGCCAGGAAAACCGGUCAGACUGCACUGAAGACAGUCCAAGCUUAACACCGAGAACUCUUGACUGACUACCCUCAAAAUUCAGAAACUGAUUUAUAGUUUGAUCCAGUCAUUAACCACUGUUUUUGUUUCCACAGGAAUGCCUCUUAUUUAAUACCUGAUUGCUUGAACUUUAGGCAUAACCUGCAUCCCUGCCUCCCGAAAUGAGUUUGAACUGACCUAUUGCCAGGCCUGGUUCGGUAAAACCAAUCAACCAGCUCAAUCUUAAUGUGUGAAACUUCAGAGAAGUUUCAGAGCAGGAAACUGCAGAGGCCCAGGGCAGGGCAUCCCAAGAGGGACCACUUUGGCAUGAACACUAUUUUGAGUUA